Agrilus planipennis (emerald ash borer) is the source of this 190-nucleotide non-coding RNA. Lineage: Eukaryota; Metazoa; Arthropoda; Insecta; Coleoptera; Buprestidae. The record is from Rfam.
ACUUUAUUUAUUUAUUAAUUUACCACAGUCUCCUUGUUUACGAUUGGAGAGGACCUUAGUUGGUCCUAGAACGGCCAGAGGUAGAGGGGUUUUAGUCGGUAGGCUCGAGGACUUCUUCCUCGGGAAUCCGACACUACCCACUCGUACGGACAGUUGGGUGUCUUUUGAAGAUUUCCCCUCUUCCACGAAA